This 497-nucleotide ribosomal RNA is filed under the name uncultured bacterium. Its description in RNAcentral is "partial 16S ribosomal RNA". It matches the Rfam family "Bacterial small subunit ribosomal RNA", at positions 28 to 507 of the family's 1533-position model. The record is from RNAcentral.
GAUGAACGCUGGCGGCGUGCCUAAUACAUGCAAGUCGAGCGAACAGACGAGGAGCUUGCUCCUCUGACGUUAGCGGCGGACGGGUGAGUAACACGUGGAUAACCUACCUAUAAGACUGGGAUAACUUCGGGAAACCGGAGCUAAUACCGGAUAACAUGUUGAACCGCAAGGUUCAACCGUGAAAGAAGGUCUUUCUUUCACUUAUAGAUGAAUCCGCGCCGCAUUAGCUAGUUGGUAAGGUAACGGCUUACCAAGGCAACGAUCCGUAUCUGACCUGAGAGGGUGAUCGGCCAAACUGGAACUGAGACACGGUCCAGAAUCCUACGGAGGGCAGCAGUAGGGAAUCUUCCGCAAUGGGCGAAAGCCUGACGGAGCAACGCCGCGUGAGGGAAGAAGGUCUUCGGAUCGUAAAACUCUGUUAUUAGGGAAGAACAAAUGUGUAAGUAACUAUGCACGUCUUGACGGUACCUAAUCAGAAAGCCACGGCUAACUACGUG